Molecule: ribosomal RNA, 465 nt
Filed under: Vreelandella stevensii
Lineage: Bacteria; Pseudomonadati; Pseudomonadota; Gammaproteobacteria; Oceanospirillales; Halomonadaceae
Description: partial 16S ribosomal RNA
Rfam family: Bacterial small subunit ribosomal RNA
Source: RNAcentral
CCUACGGGUGGCUGCAGUGGGGAAUAUUGGACAAUGGGGGGAACCCUGAUCCAGCCAUGCCGCGUGUGUGAAGAAGGCCCUCGGGUUGUAAAGCACUUUCAGUGAGGAAGAACGCCUGGUGGUUAAUACCCAUCAGGAAAGACAUCACUCACAGAAGAAGCACCGGCUAACUCCGUGCCAGCAGCCGCGGUAAUACGGAGGGUGCGAGCGUUAAUCGGAAUUACUGGGCGUAAAGCGCGCGUAGGUGGCUUGAUAAGCCGGUUGUGAAAGCCCCGGGCUCAACCUGGGAACGGCAUCCGGAACUGUCAAGCUAGAGUGCAGGAGAGGAAGGUAGAACUCCCGGUGUAGCGGUGAAAUGCGUAGAGAUCGGGAGGAAUACCAGUGGCGAAGGCGGCCUUCUGGACUGACACUGACACUGAGGUGCGAAAGCGUGGGUAGCAAACAGGAUUAGAUACCCGAGUAGUC